Molecule: ribosomal RNA, 5375 nt
Filed under: Streptococcus pneumoniae
Lineage: Bacteria; Bacillati; Bacillota; Bacilli; Lactobacillales; Streptococcaceae
Description: 23S ribosomal RNA
Rfam family: Bacterial large subunit ribosomal RNA (bases 3988-5375)
Source: RNAcentral
UUAGCUAUGUUGGUUCAGAGCAUAAACACACAGACUUAAGGAAAGGAUAACAACAGAUCCAGCUGCUAUAUAUUUCUUUUUAAAUUUCAUAAUUACCUCAUUUCUAUAAUUAUUUAUAUGAUGUCUUCAUUAUUAAAUGAUUAAAUAAAUUAAUUAACCAAUUAAUUAACUAGUAAAUAUUCCACCUCUUUUUAAGUUGUAUGUCAAGAAAUUUUAUAUAUUAAUAAUAAAAUGAAAUUCUCCCAAAGUCAGAGUUUUAUUUCUAACUUUUGAGAGAACUUCAUUUUUGAUUCAGACUUUUUCUACUGCUAUUCCUUACGCUAUGAGAUCAGAUAAAUUCUUUUUUAUCACUUCUCCACUUGGCAAUCUUAAUUCAAUCGUUCCAUCCAUAUUGAAUAUAACACUAUCUAAACCUAAUCCGUAACUAGCUGUAAAUUUUUCUAAUUUUUCUUGUACAGGAUCUACUGCUGGAGCUUCCUCUAAUGCUGGAUCUAACAUAGGGUCACUCCCCACAUUCCCUUCUGGAUUCAACAUUCCAUUAUCCGUUGAGUUUUCUGGUUUUACAGGUUUUUUGUUUGGUGCCUCUGGUAAAGAAUCUGCUGGUUUAUUUUCUGUUGGUUGGUUCUCAACUGUUCCAGUAGAUACUUUUCCAUUUUCAGAUGGUUUAUUUUCACCAUUUCCUUGAGGUGCUUCUCCUGUAAAAUCUGCCAUAUUCUUUUUAAUGACUUCUCCCGAUGGUAAAUAUAAUUCAAUUGUUCCGUCCAUAUUAAACAAGACAUUUUCUAGCUUCAUCCCAUAACUUUCAGCAAAUUUUGCUACUUUUUCUUGUACAGGAUCCACUGUAGGAACUUCUUCUAACGUUGAAUUACUAGUACUAUUCCCAGUUUCAGAAAGUUUUUCUUUUUCUACCUUCUCACUAGUCUUUGGUUCUUCUACCUUUUCAUCAAGUUUUGAGUUUUCUUGUGCUUUAUUCCUUUUAAAUUGUGGUAGAAUACUUGGUUUAUCAGUUUGAUUUUCUUUUUCCAAGAUAGGUACUUCCACAAUAUAAGUCGAUUGAUUGUCCAAAUAAGCAUUUGCCAUGAAGGUUACAGGAAUUUUAUUUCCGGCCGUUCUGGUUGUUCCUUGGUUUAAUUUCGGAAUCGGUAAUUUAAUUUCACCAACUUUAUAGUUAUUUUCUAAAUAAGCAUUUCCAUGAAAUUCAUCAAACACUCUGACUAAAGCAUCAGUUCCUUUAGGCACUGCAAAUUGAGGGUUCACUCUUAAAUAAGUAUCCCCUGCAUGGAAAGGAUAGAAAAUCGUUUGACUGGCCAUUUUGUAAGCUAAAGAGGUUGGAACUGUAAAUGUACCAUCAUAACUUACUUCUGGAUAAUCUUUUGAAGCGAUAGUAUACUUAAAUGUUUGUCCUGGUAAAUAAGGUUGAUCUAAUUCAAAGUUUGCAAUAUUCCCUACUCCUUCUCCAAAUACUUUACCAGAUACUUUCUCCAAUACUUUUCCAUCUGGUGUUAUUAAUUUUACUAGCAUAUUGAUACCUAAUUUUUUCUCCAAUUCAGGCGGAAAACUAAAAGAAACGCGUUUUUGACCAUUGGCUAGAGUAAAGUUUUGAUUAUUAAACGUACUAUUUUUUAACAAAUUAACAACAUUCGUUAAUUCUUCUCCAGUAUAAACUUUAUUCCCUUCUUUUUUAGCAACUCCUUCUUCGGGUUUAAACAGUUCAUAGUUACUGUGAGAAUGACCAAUUCCAACCGGUUUAUGUUCAUCAAUCGGAUCUGCAUGAUGGUGAUCUCCAUGCGGAUAAAUAAUCGCAUUUUUUUCUUUAUUCACGACAAUACUUUCACGUUUGACACCAUAUUGUUUCAUAAUGCCAGCAAUUUUUUCUUCGAUUUUUUUAUCUAAAUCUUUCAUUUCUUUGGCAUUACUUGGAUAAUCCUGUUCAUGAGAUGACAAAGAAUCUAAUCCAUUAUGACUAGUUUUAACUUCCUCUAAAUGUUUUUGCGCAGCCUUAAUUUGCUCUUCUGUCAAGUCCUUCUUGAAGAAAUAAUGAUUGUGGUCUCCGUGACUCAUGACAAAACCUGAUUCAUCUUCAGCGAUAAUACGAUUAGCAUCAAAUCCGUAUCCAUCUUCUUCAUGUUUCUCAUGUGAAGUUCCUGGAUUGAUUGGAAGAGAUGGAGAAGGUGUUGCUAGACUAUUGUUUGGAAGAGUCGGUUGCCCAAUUUGAUUUGAUUUUGGAAUGUAAUGGAAAUGAUCACCAUGUCUUACAAUAUAAGCUGUAGCCGUUUCUUCAACGAUAUCUUUUGGAUUAAAAAUAUAACCAUCAGAUGCUGAAGAGAGUUCCUUACUUGUCGUUAAAGAAGAAGGAUUGCUUGAAAGACUGCCUAGACUAGACACUACUUCAUUAGGUUUUGCAUUUGUAGAAACUGUAGAACCAGUUCCACUGAUAGGCACCAUUCUGGCAAUCUUUUCUUCUAAGGCAGAAAGCUUGCUGUAAGGAAUAAAGUGGUAAUGGUCGCCAUGCGGAAUCGCAACUCCAUUUGGUGUACGACUGAUAAUCUUAGCAGGGUCAAAGACCAGGCCAUCUGAUUCACUGUAACGUUGGGCGCUAGGUGAAUCAUAGAGUUCCUUCAAAAGACUCUGGAGAUUUUCAGAUUUAUUUGCUGGCUUGCUAGUUGAUCCUUUUGCUACAGAUUGCGUGUUAUUGUCACUAGCUGUUGAAGAAUAGCUUAACUGACUCGGUUGCAUAUUUUUUCCAGCCAGAUGUGCUUUAGCUGCUGCUAAUUCACUAGCAGAUAAAUCGCUUUUGGGAAUGUAGUGAUAGUGACCUCCAUGAGGAACGAUAUAAGCAUUACCCGUAUCUUCGAUAAUAUCAGCUGGAUUAAAGACAUAACCAUCAUUUGUCGUAUAUCGUCCCUGAGACCUUGCUACAGCAACAUUAGAGUUAACCUUCUCAUUAUCUUUGACAUGUUCUUGUUUUUGACGAUUGAUUUCAUCUUUAGUUCGAACAUUAUCAGCAUGAGCUGCAUCUUUCAGGUAGACAUAAUAUUUUCCAUCGACCUUGAUGAUAUAACCACCCUUGACUUCAUUGACAAUAUCAGCGUCUUUAAGUUGAUAGUUUGGAUCCUUCAUCAAGAGUUCUUCACUAAAGAGGGCAUCAUAAGGAACUUUCCCAUUAUAGUAAUGAUAGUGGUCACCGUGUGACGUUACAUAGCCCUGAUCUGUAAUUUUGAUUACAAUUUGCUCAGCCUGAAUUCCUUCUUUCUGGCUAACCUGGUCUGGUGUCAAGUUUUCACUUUUCUGACUUGACUGGCUGCCAUCCACAUAAGAGACACGAUUAUUGUCCUUAUUUUCCUGCGAACGAUGCUGGUUUAGUGCAUAGGCACAUAGACUCAAGGAUACGAUAACAGCUGAUCCAGCUGCUAUAUAUUUUUUACUAAAUUUCAUAAAUCCCUCAUUUCAAUAAAUGAUGAAGUUUUUUCUCAACUUCUUUUACUUUAUUAAAUAGUUUUCUAAACCGGUUAUUUAACCAUUUAAUUAACCAGUAAAUAGUUUACUAUUUAAAAUUACUUUUGUCAAGUUUCUGUUACGUUUUUCUAAAAAAGAGAAGUAACACGAAAGGUUACUUCUCCAUAAAAUAUGCUCCAUUCAUUUUACUACUGUAUCGGAGCCGGUUGACUUUUUUUUAACAAAGCCAAGAGACUAUCUACUUCUGCUGAAAUAGUGUUAUUAUCUUUCGUUCCGAGAAGAAGACUACUUUUUAGACCAGUCAAUGUCUCCAUAGCAUUUUGUCUAAUACUAGAAUCUGUUACUUUUUCUAGCAAGGCCUCCGCCUCUGCUAUCUUAGCGUUAAUAACAGAAUUCUCUACUUGAGGAAUUUCAGUCUCAUCUGUAGUAUCUUCAGCUUCUUCCUCUGUCUCUUCCGUAUCAGUGCUUGGUUUAUAAAGAUUAUCUGCUGAAGGAUUUAAACCAGCGUGAUUCUCUUUUUCAUCAGAUUCAGGGUGAGUUGGCUCACUUACUUCAUCAUGUCCCUUAUCUUCAUCAGGUUUACUGUCUUGGUCUGCCUUAUUUUUACGAACAUNGAAAAGCUUCUAGCGUUUAAACAUACUCUACCCGUACCGCAAACCGACACAGGUAGUCGAGGCGAGUAGCCUCAGGUGAGCGAGAGAACUCUCGUUAAGGAACUCGGCAAAAUGACCCCGUAACUUCGGGAGAAGGGGUGCUGACUUAAAGUCAGCCGCAGUGAAUAGGCCCAAGCAACUGUUUAUCAAAAACACAGCUCUCUGCUAAAUCGUAAGAUGAUGUAUAGGGGGUGACGCCUGCCCGGUGCUGGAAGGUUAAGAGGAGUGCUUAGCGUAAGCGAAGGUAUGAAUUGAAGCCCCAGUAAACGGCGGCCGUAACUAUAACGGUCCUAAGGUAGCGAAAUUCCUUGUCGGGUAAGUUCCGACCCGCACGAAAGGCGUAAUGAUUUGGGCACUGUCUCAACGAGAGACUCGGUGAAAUUUUAGUACCUGUGAAGAUGCAGGUUACCCGCGACAGGACGGAAAGACCCCAUGGAGCUUUACUGCAGUUUGAUAUUGAGUGUCUGUACCACAUGUACAGGAUAGGUAGGAGUCUAAGAGAUCGGGACGCCAGUUUCGAAGGAGACGCUGUUGGGAUACUACCCUUGUGUUAUGGCCACUCUAACCCAGAUAGGUGAUCCCUAUCGGAGACAGUGUCUGACGGGCAGUUUGACUGGGGCGGUCGCCUCCUAAAAGGUAACGGAGGCGCCCAAAGGUUCCCUCAGAAUGGUUGGAAAUCAUUCGCAGAGUGUAAAGGUAUAAGGGAGCUUGACUGCGAGAGCUACAACUCGAGCAGGGACGAAAGUCGGGCUUAGUGAUCCGGUGGUUCCGUAUGGAAGGGCCAUCGCUCAACGGAUAAAAGCUACCCUGGGGAUAACAGGCUUAUCUCCCCCAAGAGUUCACAUCGACGGGGAGGUUUGGCACCUCGAUGUCGGCUCGUCGCAUCCUGGGGCUGUAGUCGGUCCCAAGGGUUGGGCUGUUCGCCCAUUAAAGCGGCACGCGAGCUGGGUUCAGAACGUCGUGAGACAGUUCGGUCCCUAUCCGUCGCGGGCGUAGGAAAUUUGAGAGGAUCUGCUCCUAGUACGAGAGGACCAGAGUGGACUUACCGCUGGUGUACCAGUUGUCUUGCCAAAGGCAUCGCUGGGUAGCUAUGUAGGGAAGGGAUAAACGCUGAAAGCAUCUAAGUGUGAAACCCACCUCAAGAUGAGAUUUCCCAUGAUUAUAUAUCAGUAAGAGCCCUGAGAGAUGAUCAGGUAGAUAGGUUAGAAGUGGAAGUGUGGCGACACAUGUAGCGGACUAAUACUAAUAGCUCGAGGACUUAUCCAA